This 497-nucleotide ribosomal RNA is filed under the name uncultured bacterium. RNAcentral's name for it is "partial 16S ribosomal RNA". It matches the Rfam family "Bacterial small subunit ribosomal RNA", at positions 28 to 507 of the family's 1533-position model. The record is from RNAcentral.
GAUGAACGCUGGCGGCGUGCCUAAUACAUGCAAGUCGAGCGAACGGACGAGAAGCUUGCUUCUCUGAUGUUAGCGGCGGACGGGUGAGUAACACGUGGAUAACCUACCUAUAAGACUGGGAUAACUUCGGGAAACCGGAGCUAAUACCGGAUGAUAUUUUGAACCGCAUGGUUCAAAAGUGAAAGACGGUCUUGCUGUCACUUAUAGAUGGAUCCGCGCUGCAUUAGCUAGUUGGUAAGGUAACGGCUUACCAAGGCAACGAUGCAUAGCCGACCUGAGAGGGGGAGAGGCCAGAAUGGAACUGAGACACGGGCCAGACGCAUGCGGGAGGCAGCAGUGGGGAAUGUUCCGCAAUGGGCGAAAGCCUGAAGGAGCAACGCCGCGUGAGUGAUGAUGGUCUUCGGAUCGUAAAACUCUGUUAUUAGGGAAGAACAUAUGUGUAAGUAACUGUGCACAUCUUGACGGUACCUAAUCAGAAAGCCACGGCUAACUACGUG